This is a long non-coding RNA of Triticum aestivum (bread wheat), 2885 nucleotides long. RefSeq lists it as uncharacterized. Lineage: Eukaryota; Viridiplantae; Streptophyta; Magnoliopsida; Poales; Poaceae. The record is from RefSeq and is a predicted model, not a curated record. The transcript is spliced from 2 exons.
UUAUUCUGUUACCUAGGGCGCGUCCAUUUUCUUCCUCCUGCCGCCGCCCGAACCCACCUCCGCCCAGCGCGCCGCCCCGAUCCCACCUUCACCCAGCGCGCCGCCGCCCGGAUCCCACCGCCACCCUGCGUGCCGCUGGCCCUAUCCUCCUCCUCCCAGGCGCCUCCGCCACGAUCCCCCUCCUCCCAGCGUGCCUCCCGUCGCCGCCCCCGCCCCCAACUUGCCCUCGUGCAAGCCACCGCCGGCCACCUUCCUCCGGUGGUCACUCCAGCUCCUGCAACCAACACAGGUCGUUGCCCCCUUUGCCACAACGGCAGGAGCACAAAUACGAGUGUGGUCGUCCUCAACCAGUUCCUUCACGCGGCCUUCACGCAACCCCUGCUCAUGUAUGCUUACACCAAAAGUACAACUCUUGUUACUCUCCUCGUACUUGCUCUUGCUUAUUUUCUAAGCAAUAAUUCCUAUUGCUUCCUCUUGGGGAAAGGGAUCCCAUGUUGAAGCCUUGGUGCUCACCCGCUGUUUAUAUUCAUCACCAUAGUGUACGAAACAUAUGAAAACCAUUCUGGCUUCGGGAGAAAAUAUAACCAGUACAUGUGCAAUUGCGUGAGAAGUUCCCUUAUGAAAGUUCCUUGUAAACAAACCACAUGAAAGUUCGUCAAGAAAAACUUUGUAAGUUCAAAAUGGCUAUAGGAAAACUUUGUAGGUUCAGAUGGGUAUAGAAAACUUUGUAAGUUCAAAAUGGGCACGCCUAAUAGUGCGUGAAUAAAAUUUUUAAACCCAACAAAGUCCAUGUUGGUCGGUCUACAGUGUGUUGUCAAGAAGGUUGUUGGCCUUGGAGGCCGACACUAGCUGAUCAUCUACCUUCCAAUUAUAUUAGGCAUAUACCACUGAAACUGCAGGUCGCGCCCUCCUCCCACCGUAGGUGGUGCCCUCCUCCCGCAUAGCCUAUUGGUUGGUGUACCGUGACCCCUCCUCAUAUUUUUGGUAUGAAUUUGAUGAAUCUUCUUGAUGCUCUGUUCUUAUUCAUCUAGAGAUUCCUCCUCAUAUUGAUUGUUUGUAUUGCUCUGUUCUUGUCAUUUUGUAAAUUAGAAAACAGUAGUCAGUAUUUUUUUAUAAAAAAGUUUACCGCAUAAAAAAUGCAACAGUAGUUCAACACAAUAUCAAGGAGGGUGUGAGUUGGGUAUGGUUACAGACGAAAGAUAUGUGUUGAAAAGUUCACUUCGUCUACAUACGUAAGUUCAAAAAAUUGUCAUAGAGCUAGUUUAAAAAAUUGUCAAAAGGCAAAAUGGUUGUGCUAGUUCAAUUUUUUCAGUCCAUCUUCUGUAUGCUAUUCAGUACAUCUAAUUCCAAAUCGUAAGUACAAUUGCCUUUAUGUUUUCCAUCUUCAUAUAACACAAAAUAGGCACUGGAGGAUAAGGUGAGAAUAUAUACUAAUGAAAUGCUUGGUGGCGUUGUCCAUGUUUUGAAUUUAAACCACUAGCUUUUUUAUACACGAGCGCCUGUCCUGGGAGAGCCCUAUAUUGCCAUGAGCACUACUGCUACAAACUUUAAUCCCCCAUUGUCCGGCCCUAUAUUUUAUCCUCGGUUCUUAGAAAAGCAUGGAAACAAUUCUCUGUGUGUUAGAGUAUCAGUUCAUGUGGAGAAGAACAUGUUUCCUAUAUGAAAAAAAUAAUAUAUUAUUAUCAGUUCAAUAUGUAUUUUGUCAUUAGUUCAUACAGAACAACCGUAAAAAAUAUUUUGAUGUGUGUUAGAGAGAGAUCAACUUUAUAUUAUAUGGUAGCUCACUCAUUGCAUGAUUGCACAGCAGUUUGGCAUCAAAAUUCACAUCAGUUUAGGGGUGCCCGCAUCACGGUCUCACCGUGCUACCGCAAUCUCUCCUUGAUACGCCACCGGACGAGCCCCUCCUCACACUUUGGCAAGCUGUCACUUGCUCCUGUGCCUGGAUCCCAUGUGAGCGCUGAUGGUAGUCCUCUGUGUGCGUCAAUGGCACUUUCUCACAGCAAUCUCCCUCUCUUUCUUUGCUCCUGCUAUUAAAAUGCAUAGAUGUGGUAUUCUGCUAACUGAGUAGUUGGGAAGAUGUGAAAAGAACAUGCUCUUUAGGUGUUUGUGACUAUUCCUGUGAGCACCAAUGAAUUUAAAUUUUUAUUUUGUGCUUCCGUGUAUGUUUUUGGGCAGCACAAGUACAUCGUCAUAGUAAGUACAAAUGCGGUCUUAUGGAACUCUGAUAGUUGUUGGAUGCUAUUCCAAAUGCCAAUCAUGCAAAACGGUUGUUGCUAGAAUCUAGAUGAUAUUUAAUGUAGAUACCAUAGUUUCACCGUAUUUUUUGGUUCUAAAUAUUUCUGCAUACCUCUUUAAAAGAAUGUUCCGUUUGUGAUCAUUUCUUGUAGGUAUUCAUGUGGACUUUAAAUAAUGACUAUUCUUGUAUGAGGUUUGAAGAUUAUCGUGGAGCAAGUUCAAGAGAUUAGUUUCGUGAAAAUAAAUGUGAUCUUUUGGUCAGGAUUUUGCAUGAUCCAUAGCCAUCGAUGGCAACAGGAGGCGUCCUGCGUGAGUCGUCCAUCGUCUUCUAUGCGUGAGCUUGUUGUCUCUACACAUCUAGCAUCAGAGUAUCGCCUCCCCUUGCCACACACACAUGCGGUGUGGUCGAGCUAGUGUUGUUUGUGAUACUGCUCGUGACUCUUGCGUCGUCAUUGGACAAAGAAUUUGUUCUGUGACUAUGUAUUUGCAGGACCUUUAGCAAAUAUUGUUGUGUUCUGAGUAUUCUGAUGUGGGCCAAAUGGUGAGCAUUUAAACAUCAGUCUGAAUUAACAAAACUGAUAAGUUCUACUUUCAAUAAACUGAUGAACCUAGAUGCAACAAAGCUCUGCCAUUAGCCGUGGGGAUUAUCA